This 468-nucleotide ribosomal RNA is filed under the name uncultured bacterium. Its description in RNAcentral is "partial 16S ribosomal RNA". It matches the Rfam family "Bacterial small subunit ribosomal RNA", at positions 28 to 507 of the family's 1533-position model. The record is from RNAcentral.
GACGAACGCUGGCGGCGCGCUUAACACAUGCAAGUCGAACGGAAAGGCCCUGCUUUUGUGGGGUGCUCGAGUGGCGAACGGGUGAGUAACACGUGAGUAACCUGCCCUUGACUUUGGGAUAACUUCAGGAAACUGGGGCUAAUACCGGAUAGGAGCUCCUGCUGCAUGGUGGGGGUUGGAAAGUUUCGGCGGUUGGGGAUGGACUCGCGGCUUAUCAGCUUGUUGGUGGGGUAGUGGCUUACCAAGGCUUUGACGGGUAGCCGGCCUGAGAGGGUGACCGGCCACAUUGGGACUGAGAUACGGCCCAGACUCCUACGGGGGGCAGCAGUGGGGAAUAUUGCACAAUGGGCGGAAGCCUGAUGCAGCAACGUCGCGUGCGGGAUGACGGCCUUCGGGUUGUAAACCGCUUUCGCCUGUGACGAAGCGUGAGUGACGGUAAUGAGUAAAGAAGCACCGGCUAACUACGUG